RNAcentral lists this long non-coding RNA (2348 nucleotides) under Homo sapiens (human). RNAcentral's name for it is "HSALNT0079118". Lineage: Eukaryota; Metazoa; Chordata; Mammalia; Primates; Hominidae. The record is from RNAcentral.
AAAAAAAAUUUUUUAUUGAGAUAUAUUUCACAGACCAAAAGAAAUCCACCCAUUUAUCACAUACAAUUAAGUGAUUUUGAGUAUAUUCAGAAUUGUGCAACCAUUACCAAAAUGUAAAUUUAAAUUGUUUUCGGCCAGGCUCGGCGGCUCACUCCCAUAACUCCAGCAAUUUGGGAGACCAAGGUGGGAGCAUCAUUUGAACUAAGGAGUUUGAGAAAAGCCUGGGCAACAUAGUGAGACCCUAUCUCUAUGAAAAAUAAAAAUAUUAAUAAUUUUCAUCACCCUGAAAAUAAACUCCUGACUACAUAUACCCUCCACUCUAUCCCCCAGUCUCUAGCAACCACUAAUCUUUCUGCCUCUAUAGAUUUACCUGUUUUGGACAUUUAAUAUAAGUAGAUAGUAUUGGCCUUUUGCAGCUAGGUUCUUUUACUUAGUAUAACGUUUUCACCGUUAUUGUGCCGUAGCACGUGUCAGUACUUCAUUCCUUUUUAUUGUAGAUUAAUAUUUCAUUUUAUGGACAAACAUUUUGUGCAUCCAUUACACAGCUGACAAAGGACAUUUUGGUUGAUUCUACUUUUUGGCUAUUACGAAUAAUGCUGCUAUGAAUAUUUGUGUGUAAAUAUUUGCGUGGACAUAUAUUUUCAUUUCUUUUGGGUAUAUAUCUAAGCGUGGACUUGCUGGGUCACACGGUAACCUCCAUGUUCAAUAUUGAAGAAGUCUCAGCAGCCCCUCUAUGAGAAAAGGUUUGGGUUUCUGCUCUGAGGAUUGAGUGUGGUCAGUGCUUGGCUGUUUCGCUAGGCCCUCAUUUUUGUUUACACCCCCUCUCUUCUUGUCUUUCUUCCCCUUUAUUUGCCUCUUUUAUUCUCUUUUCUGUAGACUCCAGUCUCCUGCUGGUUUUAGUAGGAACUGAAGCUUUCACCGCCUAAAAGUUAUUUGUAAAACACUUUGAACUCUCUGGAGGAUGGACAUUAGAGUAAUAAUGUUUAUCUGUGGGUUAGGCACUCCUGGUGCUGUUUUGUAACAAAAGGGCUUAUUGAGUAGGAGGCUUAUUUAACUUGUUCGGGAGGGUUACCCUCCUACAACAUGCUGUCCAAACAGAUUCUUAAUUACCCAGCUGAGAGUCUGAACGUCUUGAGGAAUUACUUUGAAGUUUCUCGUUAAUAUUACCAUCAUAUCAUGUAAGUCUAUAUCGCGAGUUUGUAGAUGUAUGGAGUUCCUAGUGGGUGCCCGGCACAUAAUAAUUGCUUAAUAAAUUGCGAUUAUGAAACGUUACUCUAAUGAACUAUUAGUGUUUUUUUUUAAGAAAUACUUUUUUUUUUUUUUGAGACAUUGUCUCGCUCUGUCGCCCAGGCUGGAGUGCAGUGGCACCAUCACGACUCACUGCAACCUCCGCCUCCUGGGUUCAAGCGAUUCUCCUGCCUCAGCUGGGACUACAGGCACGUGCCACCGCACCCGGGUACUUUUUGUAUUUUAAGUAGAGACGGGGUUUCACCAUGUUAGCCAGCUGGUCUCCAACUCCUGACCUCAGGUGAUCUACCCGCCUCCGUCUCCCAAAGUGUUGGGAUUACAGGCGUGAGCCACCACGUCCGGCCUAAGGUAUACAUUUUAAUACUUUAAAAUGCCUAACUUUUUUUGGGACACACUGGAGUUGUUUCAUAACACACAAAAUAGGCUUUUUGAGGGCACUGACAUAAAUUCUCAUUGAUCGUCACCCCCACGCGGUGAAAACCACACGUUACCUGGCAUGUUUUCCGGUAGUUAUUUUUAGAAUAAUAAAGAUCGUCUUCACCUACCCCAGCAAAUUUAAUGUGCUGAACACAACAGAAACAACUUUUCUGUGGUUUAGCCAGCCCUCUCUCUUCAACUAAGUUAUUUAGUGCGGAUACGCAGAGAAGUGUAAUAGGAGCUGCUGGGCCACCAAGAAAACGCUCUUGCCAUUGUAAGGCUUCGAUCUCAAGCGGAGAUUUACCACGCAUCUCACUUUAAACUGGGAAAGGAACCGGGAUAAGGAAAAGAGCCCCCUGUGCGAGUUCGUUCCCAGCUCGGGGUUGGGGGCGUCCCAGGAUAAAUGAGAUAAAUGAGUUAAUCAUCUCCUGCAAGGCAGCCACUUCAGAGUUAUGUCGCCCGCCUGCGGGGACUAACGACUGCAAUUAAGACGCUCCUUCUCGGUCCCGGUCGGGUUCCGUGCAGCGGGGAGCCGACUGUGAGUCACCCCGGCCCCGGGAGCCCAAGCAAAGGGGAGGGGAGAGCGCCCAGGGUGGAGGGGAGCCGCGGGGCGAAAUUCUAGCCCCAGGACGCCUCGGAAGGAAGAGGAGGGGCAGCUGCGCGUGGGGAAGAGAAGGAAGAGG